Tympanuchus pallidicinctus (lesser prairie-chicken) is the source of this 455-nucleotide long non-coding RNA. RefSeq lists it as uncharacterized. The transcript has 3 exons. Lineage: Eukaryota; Metazoa; Chordata; Aves; Galliformes; Phasianidae. The record is from RefSeq and is a predicted model, not a curated record.
GGGCACGGUGCAGGGUGCGCAGUGCAGGGCUGGCCAGCUUUGCCAUGCUUGUUGGAGUGGGAGGAAGGAGCCAGCCCAGGCGCCAAAACGUCUGCGAGGCCGCUUAGAUCAUGAUCACAAUGUUUUUCUGCAUAGGGAUCCACGUAAAUAGAAGCCAUUCAUCCAGGCUGAGAGGACUGGCAGCUUUCAGAGUCACCCUGUCCGCUGAUACACAGCCACCGCUUAACAAGGCCAGUUCCUCCAGCCUACUGAUAAUCUUCAUGGCCCUCCUCUGGACUCUCUCCAAAAACUCCAUGUCUUUCUGAUGCUGGGGGCCCUGGACCUGGAUGCAGUACUCCAGCUGGAGCCUCUCAUUCAGGCAGUCGGGCAGAUCCCCAGAGGAGUGUUUCUUUAAGGCUGAAUUGCAGAAUUCAAGAUUUCUCCUGUCCAGGAAUGUUCCUGGCAUUUUGCUGGUG